RNAcentral lists this ribosomal RNA (250 nucleotides) under uncultured Geosporobacter sp. Its description in RNAcentral is "partial 16S ribosomal RNA". It matches the Rfam family "Bacterial small subunit ribosomal RNA", at positions 524 to 774 of the family's 1533-position model. Lineage: Bacteria; Bacillati; Bacillota; Clostridia; Peptostreptococcales; Thermotaleaceae. The record is from RNAcentral.
UACGUAGGGGGCGAGCGUUAUCCGGAAUCACUGGGCGUAAAGGGUGCGUAGGCGGCCGAUAAAGUCAGGGGUGAAAGGCUACGGCUUAACCGUAGUAAGCCUUUGAAACUUAUGGGCUUGAGUGCAGGAGAGGAGAGUGGAAUUCCUAGUGUAGCGGUGAAAUGCGUAGAUAUUAGGAGGAACACCAGUGGCGAAGGCGACUCUCUGGACUGUAACUGACGCUGAGGCACGAAAGCGUGGGGAGCGAACA